UACGUAGGGUGCAAGCGUUGUCCGGAAUUAUUGGGCGUAAAGAGCUCGUAGGCGGUCUGUCGCGUCUGGUGUGAAAACUCAGGGCUUAACCCUGAGCUUGCAUCGGGUACGGGCAGACUAGAGUUCGGUAGGGGAGUCUGGAAUUCCUGGUGUAGCGGUGAAAUGCGCAGAUAUCAGGAGGAACACCGGUGGCGAAGGCGGGACUCUGGGCCGAUACUGACGCUGAGGAGCGAAAGCGUGGGGAGCAAACAGG
Molecule: ribosomal RNA, 253 nt
Filed under: uncultured bacterium
Lineage: Bacteria
Description: partial 16S ribosomal RNA
Rfam family: Bacterial small subunit ribosomal RNA
Source: RNAcentral